This 521-nucleotide long non-coding RNA is filed under the name Capra hircus (goat). Its description in RNAcentral is "lncRNA (ENSCHIG00000008001.1)". Lineage: Eukaryota; Metazoa; Chordata; Mammalia; Artiodactyla; Bovidae. The record is from RNAcentral.
CUUGUAUUUCUUUUUUUUUUUUCCUGGAAAUUAUCUCUACAUGUCUUUUUAAAAUUCCCUUUUCUGUUGUAUGUCUUUUCCUUACUACUUUGCAAAAUUCAUUUUUCACGUUGGUAUCCAUCCAACCCACAGGAGGAAAACACUGCCAAAGUCCAAAGAAGAGCUUGGGAGGAUGGAGAGCAAAAUGCCCCAAGGCUACUGCCGCAGCCCUCCUUCUGCCCUGUGGUGGGCUCCAUUCUGCCAUCCUCUGCAGACCAGAGGCCUUACCUGCUGCUCCCAGGUUAAAGGCCUAUUGAAAGUGAAGUGAAGACAUCCUUCGUGGUCCAGUGGUUAAGAAUCCACCUUCCAGUUCAGGGGAGGAGGGUGGUUCCAUCCCUGGCCUGGAAACUAAGAUCCCACAUGCCCUGGAGGCAACUAAGACCACCCACCUCUACUACUGAGCCCCUGAACCACAACUAGACAGAAGGCUGGGUACCCCAGCAAAGAUCCCCUGAACUGCCACUAACCCAAUAGCAGCUGAA